UGCAGUCGAACGGCAGCACGGGGGCAACCCUGGUGGCGAGUGGCGAACGGGUGAGUAAAACAUCGGAACGUGUCCUGUAGUGGGGGAUAGCCCGGCGAAAGCCGGAUUAAUACCGCAUACGCUCUGCGGAGGAAAGCGGGGGAUCUUCGGACCUCGCGCUACAGGGGCGGCCGAUGGCAGAUUAGCUGGUUGGUGGGGUAAAGGCCUACCAAGGCGACGAUCUGUAGCUGGUCUGAGAGGACGACCAGCCACACUGGGACUGAGACACGGCCCAGACUCCUACGGGAGGCAGCAGUGGGGAAUUUUGGACAAUGGGGGCAACCCUGAUCCAGCAAUGCCGCGUGUGUGAAGAAGGCCUUCGGGUUGUAAAGCACUUUUGUCCGGAAAGAAAACCUCUGGCCUAAUACCGGGGGGGGAUGACGGUACCGGAAGAAUAAGCACCGGCUAACUACGUGCCAGCAGCCGCGGUAAUACGUAGGGUGCAAGCGUUAAUCGGAAUUACUGGGCGUAAAGCGUGCGCAGGCGGUUCGCUAAGACAGAUGUGAAAUCCCCGGGCUUAACCUGGGAACUGCAUUUGUGACUGGCGGGCUAGAGUAUGGCAGAGGGGGGUAGAAUUCCACGUGUAGCAGUGAAAUGCGUAGAGAUGUGGAGGAAUACCGAUGGCGAAGGCAGCCCCCUGGGCCAAUACUGACGCUCAUGCACGAAAGCGUGGGGGAGCAAACAGGAUUAGAUACCCUGGUAGUCCACGCCCUAAACGAUGUCAACUAGUUGUCGGGUCUUCAUUGACUUGGUAACGUAGCUAACGCGUGAAGUUGACCGCCUGGGGGAGUACGGUCGCAAGGAUUAAAACUCAAAGGAAUUG
This 862-nucleotide ribosomal RNA is filed under the name Burkholderia sp. Its description in RNAcentral is "bacterial SSU rRNA". It matches the Rfam family "Bacterial small subunit ribosomal RNA", at positions 56 to 912 of the family's 1533-position model. The record is from RNAcentral. Lineage: Bacteria; Pseudomonadati; Pseudomonadota; Betaproteobacteria; Burkholderiales; Burkholderiaceae.